CUAAUACCGCAUACGUCCUACGGGAGAAAGAGGGCCUCUGCUUGCAAGCUCUCACUCCAGGAUGAGCCCACGUCCGAUUAGCUAGUUGGUAGGGUAAAGGCCUACCAAGGCCACGGAUCGGUAGCUGGUCUGAGAGGAUGAUCAGCCACACUGGGACUGAGACACGGCCCAGACUCCUACGGGAGGCAGCAGUGGGGAAUAUUGGACAAUGGGCGCAAGCCUGAUCCAGCAAUGCCGCGUGUGUGAAGAAGGCUGCGGGUUGUAAAGCACUUUCAGUGGGGAAGAACAGGUUCGGGUCAAUACCCCGGAGCCCUGACGUUACCCACAGAAGAAGCACCGGCUAACUCCGUG
RNAcentral lists this ribosomal RNA (351 nucleotides) under uncultured bacterium. RNAcentral's name for it is "bacterial SSU rRNA". It matches the Rfam family "Bacterial small subunit ribosomal RNA", at positions 163 to 507 of the family's 1533-position model. The record is from RNAcentral.